Molecule: ribosomal RNA, 456 nt
Filed under: uncultured Chthoniobacteraceae bacterium
Lineage: Bacteria; Pseudomonadati; Verrucomicrobiota; Spartobacteria; Chthoniobacterales; Chthoniobacteraceae
Description: bacterial SSU rRNA
Rfam family: Bacterial small subunit ribosomal RNA
Source: RNAcentral
CGGGCGGCAGCAGUCGAGAAUUUUUCUCAAUGGGGGAAACCCUGAAGGAGCGACGCCGCGUGGAGGAUGAAGGUCUUCGGAUUGUAAACUCCUGUCAUGAGGGAGCAAGACACAGCGUUAACUGCGUAUGUGUUUGAUAGUACCUCAAGAGGAAGGGACGGCUAACUCUGUGCCAGCAGCCGCGGUAAUACAGAGGUCCCGAGCGUUGUUCGGAUUCAUUGGGCGUAAAGGGUGCGUAGGCGGUUGGGUAAGUCAGAUGUGAAAUUCCAGGGCUCAACCUUGGAACUGCAUUUGAUACUGCUCGACUAGAGUACUGGAGAGGAGACUGGAAUUCACGGUGUAGCAGUGAAAUGCGUAGAUAUCGUGAGGAAGGCCAGCGGCGAAGGCGAGUCUCUGGACAGUUACUGACGCUGAGGCACGAAGGCUAGGGGAGCAAACGGGAUUAGAUACCCCGGU